GCUGGGCCCCAAGGUCAUGG
This 20-nucleotide unclassified non-coding RNA is filed under the name Chlamydomonas reinhardtii. RNAcentral describes it as "small RNA Cre_1794". The record is from RNAcentral. Lineage: Eukaryota; Viridiplantae; Chlorophyta; Chlorophyceae; Chlamydomonadales; Chlamydomonadaceae.